CCUACGGGAGGCAGCAGUGGGGAAUAUUGGGCAAUGGAGGAAACUCUGACCCAGCGACGCCGCGUGCGGGAUGAAGGCCUUCGGGUUGUAAACCGCUUUCAGCAGGGAAGAAGCGAAAGUGACGGUACCUGCAGAAGAAGCACCGGCUAACUAUGUGCCAGCAGCCGCGGUAAUACAUAGGGUGCAAGCGUUGUCCGGAAUUAUUGGGCGUAAAGAGCUCGUAGGUGGUUCGUCACGUCGGAUGUGAAAAUCUGGGGCUUAACCCCAGACCUGCAUUCGAUACGGGCGAGCUUGAGUAUGGUAGGGGAGUCUGGAAUUCCUGGUGUAGCGGUGGAAUGCGCAGAUAUCAGGAGGAACACCAAUGGCGAAGGCAGGACUCUGGGCCAUUACUGACACUGAGGAGCGAAAGCGUGGGGAGCGAACAGGAUUAGAUACCCUGGUAGUCCACGCCGUAAACGGUGGGCACUAGUUGUGGGGACCUUCCGAUGGUCUCUGCGACGCAGCUACGCAUAGUCGCCCGCCGUCGGGAGGUACGAGCGCGAAGAAGUUAAACUUAAAGUAGUAAGUUAGUACGGCGUGAGACGUCGCCGACGGACGACGACGAGGGAGGAGG
This 613-nucleotide ribosomal RNA is filed under the name uncultured bacterium. RNAcentral describes it as "bacterial SSU rRNA". The stretch from base 1 to 522 matches the Rfam family "Bacterial small subunit ribosomal RNA", at positions 338 to 873 of the family's 1533-position model. The record is from RNAcentral.